UUGACUGUUGGAAUAUAAAUGACUAUAAGAAUACACCAUAAAUCUAUACGAAUGCCCUUCGACUGCUUGCCGAAGUCCUUUUUGUCCCGGCCGAUAGGUCUCUAAACAUUACAGAGAACCCCGAACAACCCAAACUGUUAAUCUUCGAUACUGCUUUAUACUUACAAUCUUGUAUCCACUGACUGUCUUGUUAGAUUAACCCAAUAAAUUUCAUUCACUCCGCAUACUCAAUCCUAUAGACACCUUUUUAAUUCUUCAAUCUUAGACGUAACUCAAUUUCACAAAACAAUCAAGAGUAAUCAAACCCACUUCAUUAAAAAUCCCGAUUCACCAUUACAACACUGACUUCAGCAACGAUUGCCUCAGUCUUCCCAAAACCCUA
Molecule: long non-coding RNA, 382 nt
Filed under: Physcomitrium patens
Lineage: Eukaryota; Viridiplantae; Streptophyta; Bryopsida; Funariales; Funariaceae
Description: long non-coding RNA (PPAT_LNC002016)
Source: RNAcentral